UGCGCCGCGCCGCCGCCGCCGGCGACUGCCCCCACGCUCCUGCCACUCCCAUGGACCGCCCCGCCCGGGCGCUGCCUGCCGCUCGCCUACCCCCACCCCAAGUUCCCCAGCCGGCCAUCCCCGGCUCCCCGCGCUACCAGGACUGCCGCUGUUGCUCUAGCGGGGCGCCGUCGCCGCUCUGCUCCGGCCACAUCCCGUCUCCGGUCUCCUCGUCUCCCCGCGCAACUAGGAGUCCGUCCACGUCCAGGACUGAUUUGUUGGCUCUCCGCUCUCGGCUGGAAAUAGAAACUGAAUGUGGAAUAAUUAAUAAAGAUGGCUGCAUGCAUCCAUUGAUGCAGAGGCCGGGGGUUUCCUCCUUUUCAAAAAAAUAGAAGAUGAAGAGAUAGUUUUCAUCGUUGUAGGCAAUGGAAGGGCCAGAGGGAAACACCAUUGUCCCUUUGGUAUAUCGACUCAUAGAGUUAGCAUUGGUUUUGCCGGUUGCAACCGCAUUAGUAGAAAGAGCUUUCUCAGUUAUGAGUAUUAUCAAGACCGAGUUUAGGAAUAAGAUGGGUGAUGAUUGGUUGAAUUAUAAGAUGAUGUGCUAUAUUGAGGAAGAUGUAUUUGCAAGUUUUGCCGAUGAUGAUAUUUUAUACCGCUUUCAAGCCUAUAGAGAUCGCAGAGGGCUUUUACCUCCUCGUAGAGGUAUUGCUUCUUCUUCUGCCAUUUGUCAUGUUAUGGGAGGCACAAAUGAAAUAAGCAUCUGCCAUUUGUCUUGAAGUUUGUGCAUGAAGAAUGUGUGCGCAUCGCGCGAACUUGGGAACUUGAUGGUGUGUGGGAGUUGGACUCAACCUAAUCUCGUGAAGAAUGUCGGUUAUCGUGUGAAUUGGGACCUGAUGGUAUGCUGUUGUUGAUUUGGUUAUUGAUCUAGCCAUGGAAAAUUUGUAGCUUCUUUACUCAAACAACAAUGCAGGGAUAGUGGAUAUUAUUUCUGUUUUUUUUUCUCGAAAAGAGAAACGAGCUUUGCUUCCCUUUAGGUGUGAGCCAUUGCAAGAUUGGAGCCGAGAUGACUGAACUUGUCAUCAUUUUGGUUAUCGAACUUACUAUUUUUCAAGUGUGUGGCAAGAUGAACAAGAAGAGGAAACUCAACA
Molecule: long non-coding RNA, 1127 nt
Organism: Triticum dicoccoides
Lineage: Eukaryota; Viridiplantae; Streptophyta; Magnoliopsida; Poales; Poaceae
Exons: 4
Source: RefSeq, a predicted model, not a curated record